GCCUGGGUAGCUCAGUUGGUGAGCAUCUGACUUCGGCUCAGGUCAUGAUCUUAUGGUUUUUUGGGUUUGAGCCCACAUCAGGCU
This 84-nucleotide transfer RNA is filed under the name Felis catus (domestic cat). It matches the Rfam family "tRNA". Rfam says of the family: Transfer RNA (tRNA) molecules are approximately 80 nucleotides in length. Their secondary structure includes four short double-helical elements and three loops (D, anti-codon, and T loops). The record is from Rfam by way of RNAcentral. Lineage: Eukaryota; Metazoa; Chordata; Mammalia; Carnivora; Felidae.